AGGCGCCAUGCCUACACAUGCAGUCGUACGGAGAGUGGGGCAACUCACUCUCAGUGGCAAACGGGUGAGUAACGCGUGAAUAACCUGCCUUUGAGAAGGGGAUAACUGUCCGAAAGGAUAGCUAAUACCCUAUAUUGCCUUUUGUCACUAAGGCAAAAGGUGAAAGCGAGGCUGUCAAAGGCUUCGGCUCAAAGAGGGGUUCGCGUCCUAUCAGGUAGUUGGUGGGGUAAUGGCCUACCAAGCCAAUGACGGGUAGCUGGUCUUAAAGGAUGAUCAGCCACAGUGGGACUGAGACACGGCCCGCACCCCUACGGGGGGCAGCAGUGGGGAAUCGUGGGCAAUGGGCGCAAGCCUGACCCCGCAAUGCCGCGUGAGGGAAGAAGCCCCUCGGGGUGUAAACCUCUGUCAGAUGGGAAGAUGGGACUAGGGGCUAAUACCUCCUGGUCUUGACGGUACCAUCAGAAGAAGGGACGGCUAACUACGUGCCAACAGCCGCGGUAAU
RNAcentral lists this ribosomal RNA (502 nucleotides) under uncultured bacterium. Its description in RNAcentral is "bacterial SSU rRNA". It matches the Rfam family "Bacterial small subunit ribosomal RNA", at positions 38 to 524 of the family's 1533-position model. The record is from RNAcentral.